GACGAACGCUGGCGGCGUGCUUAACACAUGCAAGUCGAACGGACAGGCCCUGCUUUUGUUGGUUUCUCGAGUGGCGAACGCGUGUGUAACACGUGUGUAACCUGCCCUUGUCUUUGGGAUAUCUUCAGGAAACUCGGGCUCAUACCGCAUAGGAUCUCCUGCUGCAUGGUGUGGGUUGGUAAGUUUCGGCGGUUGGGGAUGGACUCGCGGCUUAUCAGCUUGUUGGUGGGGUAGUGGCUUACCAAGGCUUUGACGGGUAGCCGGCCUGAGAGGGUGACCGGCGACAUUGGGACUGAGAUACGGCCCAGACUGCAACGGGAGGCAGCAGUGGGGAAUAUUGCAGAAUGGGCGGAAGCCUGAUGCAGCAACGCCGCGUGCGGGAUGACGGCCUUCGGGUUGUAAACAGAUUUGGAAUGAGACGAAGAGUGAGUGACGGUAAUGGGUAAAGAAGCACCGGCUAACUACGUG
Molecule: ribosomal RNA, 468 nt
Filed under: uncultured bacterium
Lineage: Bacteria
Description: partial 16S ribosomal RNA
Rfam family: Bacterial small subunit ribosomal RNA
Source: RNAcentral